CAUGCUGCUGUGAUCUGAUGGAUUCUGAUCUGAGGGAAGAGCACUUCUAGACCAGAAAUGUCAUGGUGGCACUGAGCCAAGGCCCUCCUGGUGCAAGGCAAAAUGCGCAAUGAACAGCUGACAUUCCUUGCUCCUUGAAGUCUGCAAGGUACACACCAUGCUCCAGCAUAAGAAUUUCCUUCUAACCAUCAACCAAGAGCACACAUGGCACUUCACACAGCGUGUGUCAAGGCUCUGUGCUUGUACAGAUGGCAGGAGAUUGUCUCAGCUCCCAGGCAAAGAAGAAACCUACCACAGCAGAGCAGUGGCCAAAGCAAGCAUGGAAAUGACUGGAUCAGUGUCUUUGACUCUGCUUUUCUUUCUUCGUGCUCUGAUUCCAGCAGGGAUGUUUAAACAUGCCUGGCUCUGUGCACUGUCCAGUGGAAAUCCAGCUGGACUUGGAUUUCACAAUUGCCAGCAGCACUUGGGAGUAAGUGCAGUGGCUUCCUGGCUGGGCUUAUUUUGCAGUGUUGAAACACCAUUUUCAAACAUUAUCUUUUUGUUCCAGCAUUUAUAUUUCAAGCUUCUGUAACACUGGACAUAGAUUAAGAUGAGGGUUUUAUGCAGAACUGUUUCUUUGCAUUAAAAUCUGCCCAACACAAGCCAGAGAAAUGCCACGGUAAAUUCAGAGGCUCCCUACAGCCCAGGGAACCUUUAUGGCAGAGAUCUCACUGUGUCCUCAAGCUGAUAAAGAAACAAUAAAAAGUCUGGCUGAACUGUUUUGGUGAUUAAU
Molecule: long non-coding RNA, 772 nt
Organism: Junco hyemalis (dark-eyed junco)
Lineage: Eukaryota; Metazoa; Chordata; Aves; Passeriformes; Passerellidae
Source: Ensembl